This 458-nucleotide ribosomal RNA is filed under the name uncultured bacterium. RNAcentral's name for it is "SSU rRNA". It matches the Rfam family "Bacterial small subunit ribosomal RNA", at positions 26 to 518 of the family's 1533-position model. The record is from RNAcentral.
AGGAUGAACGCUGGCGGCGUGCCUAAUACAUGCAAGUCGAGCGGUAAGGCCACUUCGGUGGUACACGAGCGGCGGACGGCUGAGUAACACGUAGGAACGUACCCCAAAGUGAGGCAUAAGCACCAGAAAUGGUGUCUAAUACCGCAUGUGGCCUAACAGGCUAAAGCUCCGGCGCUUUGGGAACGGCCUGCGCAUGAUUAGCUUGUUGGUGAGGUAAAAGCUCACCAAGGCAGUGAUCAUUAGCUGGUCUGAGAGGAUGACCAGCCAGACUGGGACUGAGAACGGCCAGACUCCUACGGGAGGCAGCAGUAGGGAAUUUUCCACAAUGGGCGAAAGCCUGAUGGAGCAACGCCGCGUGCAGGAUGAAAGGCUCUAGGGUCGUAAACUGACUUCUAUCUGUGACGAAUAUGACGGUAGCAGAUGAAUAAGGAUCGGCUAACUCCGUGCCAGCAGCCGAC